Cyprinus carpio (common carp) is the source of this 455-nucleotide long non-coding RNA. RefSeq lists it as uncharacterized. The record is from RefSeq and is a predicted model, not a curated record. NCBI's taxonomy places the organism in Eukaryota, Metazoa, Chordata, Actinopteri, Cypriniformes, Cyprinidae. The transcript is spliced from 3 exons.
CAAGCCUCGGUGGCAGAAAGAGAGUGGGAUAAUGCUUUUAGAGGACGCGGUGGGAGUGGGAUGCAGAUGCUAAACCAGGCAGUCUUCCUCCAGCGGUGCACCCUAGAGCUCUAGAGAGGGCGACACUGGCCAGCGGCGGGGGGAAAUGAAAACCUGUUUGCAGCAGGAGAGGUCUGUGCUGCGCUCCAAUUUUCUCAGCAACAAUAUAUAGCCUCAGUUGGAAGGCAAUUACACUGAAGUGUUCUCCACGAAAAUAGCCAAGAGUCUGGGCCGGGAUCCGCUAGCAGUCAUCUCUCAGAUGAGCCCUACCAAUGGCUUCCUGAACCUGAUGAGAAGCUCGACUGGCUGCUAAUGAGGAUGAUGAAUGAGAGAGGACAGGCCAAAAGAAAUCUUGACAGCUCCCUGAAGGAUGACCAAACCGCAAGCAGAGCUCAGGAGAUCGAGGCAAUCUAGAC